GAGUCUGUAGCUCAGCUGGAUAGAGCAUCGGCCUUCUAAGCCGAGGGUAGAGGGAUUCGAAUCCCUUCAGGCUCA
RNAcentral lists this transfer RNA (75 nucleotides) under Lachnospiraceae bacterium oral taxon 082 str. F0431. Its description in RNAcentral is "tRNA-Arg". It matches the Rfam family "tRNA". From Rfam's summary of the family: Transfer RNA (tRNA) molecules are approximately 80 nucleotides in length. Their secondary structure includes four short double-helical elements and three loops (D, anti-codon, and T loops). The record is from RNAcentral. Lineage: Bacteria; Bacillati; Bacillota; Clostridia; Lachnospirales; Lachnospiraceae.